UGAGGAAUAUUGGGCAAUGCCCGCAAGGGUGACCCAGCAACGCCGCGUGGAGGAUGAAUGUCGUAAGAUUGUAAACUCCUGUUAGAGGGGAAGAAUAGUACCGGUUGGACCGGUAUAUGACUGUACCCUCAGAGAAAGCCCCGGCUAACUACGUGCCAGCAGCCGCGGUAAUACGUAGGGGGCAAGCGUUGUCCGGAUUUACUGGGUGUAAAGGGCGCGCAGGCGGGAUAAAAAGUCAGUGGUGAAAUCCUACAGCUUAACUGUAGAACUGCCUUUGAUACUGUUAUUCUUGAGUUCGGGAGAGGGAGACGGAAUUCCAGGUGUAGUGGUGAAAUACGUAGAUAUCUGGAAGAACACCAGUUGCGAAGGCGGUCUCUUGGUCCGACACUGACGCUGAGGCGCGAAAGCGUGGGGAGCAAACA
RNAcentral lists this ribosomal RNA (422 nucleotides) under uncultured bacterium. Its description in RNAcentral is "bacterial SSU rRNA". It matches the Rfam family "Bacterial small subunit ribosomal RNA", at positions 355 to 774 of the family's 1533-position model. The record is from RNAcentral.